Passer domesticus (house sparrow) is the source of this 775-nucleotide long non-coding RNA. RefSeq lists it as uncharacterized. NCBI's taxonomy places the organism in Eukaryota, Metazoa, Chordata, Aves, Passeriformes, Passeridae. The record is from RefSeq and is a predicted model, not a curated record. The transcript is spliced from 4 exons.
UGAAGUUAUCAAGGACUGGAACGGGUUGCUCAGAGUUGUGGAACCUUCAUCCUUGGAGAUUCUCAACACCUGACUGGAUCUUGCCCUGAGUAGCCAGAGCUUUUUGUUAUCCUGUGAUCUCAUAGUUGGAGCAAGCAGAUCUGAGGAUGCUGUGAAGGACAGAAUGGAAGGAGAAGAGCAAAAGGAGCAUCAGGCAAUGAGAACUGAAUAUAACCCUCUGUGUCCCCUUUGGAAGCACACCCUGGUGGUUCAAUGAGGAACAUGAGUCACUGCUGCUGCUGGGCUUUGACCAAGCACCUGUUUUAAAGAGGGGAGGGAAUUCUGACAGCUGAAGAUCAGGACAGGCUCUUCACCCCUCUGCUCCACAAGUGCCUGACAGUAGCAGGACAGCACAGGUUGCCAUAGGACAGGUGUCUGAGAUACAAGAACAGGUACCCCCAAGGGGUGGACAGGGAUGUUUGUGCUGGCUGAGAUUUUCUCAUAUGCAAGGGAGGUGAGAUUGUGGGUACAGGAGUAGGAGUGAAGCCACCGCAGUCAAUUCACUUCUGACAAAAUCCAGCUGGAAAUACAGACACUGGAACCCUACCCAACAGGAAGGGCACCUGGGCUAAAGAGAACAGGCAUGUGGCUUGAUGUGUGCCAGAGUGGGCACUGCCAGCAGUGGGAAACAGCUGAAGAGGAGGCAGGAGAGCAUCAAAGGGCUUGUCACAGUCCACAGAGAUCUACACCAAGAAACUCCUGGGCUCAGCAGCUUUCUCUCCCUACACAGAAAUAG